RNAcentral lists this ribosomal RNA (914 nucleotides) under uncultured marine group I thaumarchaeote. RNAcentral's name for it is "SSU rRNA". It matches the Rfam family "Archaeal small subunit ribosomal RNA", at positions 1 to 922 of the family's 1478-position model. The record is from RNAcentral. Lineage: Archaea; Thermoproteati; Nitrososphaerota.
UUCCGGUUGAUCCUGCCGGACCUGACUGCUAUCGGAUUGAUACUAAGCCAUGCAAGUCUUUGUAGUAAUACAAGGCAUACGGCUCAGUAACGCGUAGUCAACCUACCCUAUGGAUGGGGAUAAUCUCGGGAAACUGAGCAUAAUACCCAACAGAUCAUCAAUUCUGGAAUGGUUGAUGAUUCAAAUGAUUUUUCGCCAUAGGAUGGGACUGCGGCCUAUCAGCUUGUUGGUGAGGUAAUGGCCCACCAAGGCAAUUACAGGUACGGGCUCUGAGAGGAGAAGCCCGGAGAUGGGUACUGAGACAAGGACCCAGGCCCUAUGGGGCGCAGCAGGCGAGAAAACUUUGCAAUGUGCGAAAGCACGACAAGGUUAAUCCGAGUGAUUUCUGCUAAAGGAAUCUUUUACCAGUUCUAAAAAUACUGGCGAAUAAGGGGUGGGCAAGUUCUGGUGUCAGCCGCCGCGGUAAAACCAGCACCUCAAGUGGUCAGGAGGAUUAUUGGGCCUAAAGCAUCCGUAGCCGGCUCUGUAAGUUUUCGGUUAAAUCUAUAUGCUCAACGUAUAGGCUGCCGAAAAUACUGCACAGCUAGGGAAUGGGAGAGGUAGACGGUACUCGGUAGGAAGGGGUAAAAUCCUUUGAUCUAUCGAUGACCACCUGUGGCGAAGGCGGUCUACCAGAACAUGUUCGACGGUGAGGGAUGAAAGCUGGGGGAGCAAACCGGAUUAGAUACCCGGGUAGUCCCAGCUGUAAACGAUGCAGACUCGAUAAUGCACUGGCACAUAGCCAGUGCAGUGUCGCAGGGAAGCCGUUAAGUCUGCCGCCUGGGAAGUACGUACGCAAGUAUGAAACUUAAAGGAAUUGGCGGGGGAGCACCACAAGGGGUGAAGCCUGCGGUUCAAUUGGACUCAACGCCGGA